GGCUUUUAGUAAAAAUUUAAAAGUCGGACCUGCCCAAUGGUGGGACUGAAUGGCCGCAGUAUUCCUGACUGUGCAAAGGUAGCAAAAUCAUUUGCCUUAUAAUUCAAGGCUUGUAUGAACGGUUUGUCAAGAUUUUGACUGUCUCUCUAAGUUGUUGUGAAGUUAAACUCUGAGUGCAAAUGCUUAGAUAGCGCUGUUGGACGAGAAGACCCUAUAGAGCUUUGUAUAAAAAUAUACUUAAUUGGGGCAAUUAGCCAACUUAAACUUGGUUUUAAACACACGCUAAUAAGCGUGAACUUUGAGCUUUAAUACUUUAAAGAUUAAGUUACCUUAGGGAUAACAGCGUUAUGAUAAGAAACUAGUUCUUAUGGUUUCUUGCGAUUACGACCUCGAUGUUGAAUUAGAAUUUCCUAUAAUAGAAAAAACCUAUAAGGUAGGUCUGUUCGACCUUUAAAAUUCU
RNAcentral lists this ribosomal RNA (460 nucleotides) under Trinoton querquedulae (large duck louse). Its description in RNAcentral is "partial 16S ribosomal RNA". It matches the Rfam family "Bacterial large subunit ribosomal RNA", at positions 1816 to 2597 of the family's 2925-position model. Lineage: Eukaryota; Metazoa; Arthropoda; Insecta; Psocodea; Menoponidae. The record is from RNAcentral.